This 579-nucleotide ribosomal RNA is filed under the name Hylemonella sp. RNAcentral's name for it is "bacterial SSU rRNA". It matches the Rfam family "Bacterial small subunit ribosomal RNA", at positions 140 to 714 of the family's 1533-position model. Lineage: Bacteria; Pseudomonadati; Pseudomonadota; Betaproteobacteria; Burkholderiales; Comamonadaceae. The record is from RNAcentral.
GGGAUAGCUCGGCGAAAGCCGGAUUAAUACCGCAUAAGCUCUGAGGAGGAAAGCGGGGGACCGUAAGGCCUCGCGCGUUUGGAGCGGCCGAUGGCAGAUUAGGUAGUUGGUGGGGUAAAGGCUUACCAAGCCUACGAUCUGUAGCUGGUCUGAGAGGACGACCAGCCACACUGGGACUGAGACACGGCCCAGACUCCUACGGGAGGCAGCAGUGGGGAAUUUUGGACAAUGGGCGAAAGCCUGAUCCAGCAAUGCCGCGUGCAGGAUGAAGGCCUUCGGGUUGUAAACUGCUUUUGUACGGAACGAAAAGGCGCCUACUAAUACUGGGUGUUGAUGACGGUACCGUAAGAAUAAGCACCGGCUAACUACGUGCCAGCAGCCGCGGUAAUACGUAGGGUGCGAGCGUUAAUCGGAAUUACUGGGCGUAAAGCGUGCGCAGGCGGUGUUGUAAGACAGUUGUGAAAUCCCCGGGCUCAACCUGGGAACUGCAUCUGUGACUGCAAUGCUGGAGUGCGGCAGAGGGGGAUGGAAUUCCGCGUGUAGCAGUGAAAUGCGUAGAUAUGCGGAGGAACACCGAUG